RNAcentral lists this transfer RNA (74 nucleotides) under Clostridium sp. CAG_433_25_7. RNAcentral describes it as "tRNA-Arg". It matches the Rfam family "tRNA". From Rfam's summary of the family: Transfer RNA (tRNA) molecules are approximately 80 nucleotides in length. Lineage: Bacteria; Bacillati; Bacillota; Clostridia; Eubacteriales; Clostridiaceae. The record is from RNAcentral. RNAcentral also lists the same sequence under 2 other names.
GUGCCUGUAGCCCAGCUGGAUAGAGCGUUUGGCUACGAACCAAAAGGUCGGGGGUUCGAAUCCCUCCAGGCACG